RNAcentral lists this ribosomal RNA (663 nucleotides) under uncultured bacterium. Its description in RNAcentral is "partial 16S ribosomal RNA". It matches the Rfam family "Bacterial small subunit ribosomal RNA", at positions 53 to 763 of the family's 1533-position model. The record is from RNAcentral.
ACAUGCAGUCGANGCUCACUUCGGUGAGAGUGGCAGANGGGUGAGUAACGNNNNNNNNAUAUACCUAUCAGUACGGAACAACAGUUGGAAANNNNUGCUAAUACCGUAUACGCCCUCCGGGGGAAAGAUUCAUCGCUGAUAGAUUAGCCCGCGUUAGAUUAGCUAGUUGGUGGGGUAAAGGCCUACCAAGGCGACGAUCUAUAGCUGGUCUGAGAGGAUGAUCAGCCACACUGGGACUGAGACACGGCCCAGACUCCUACGGGAGGCAGCAGUGGGGAAUAUUGGACAAUGGGCGCAAGCCUGAUCCAGCCAUGCCGCGUGUGUGAUGAAGGCCUUAGGGUUGUAAAGCACUUUCAACGGUGAAGAUAAUGACGGUAACCGUAGAAGAAGCCCCGGCUAACUUCGUGCCAGCAGCCGCGGUAAUACGAAGGGGGCUAGCGUUGUUCGGAAUUACUGGGCGUAAAGCGCACGUAGGCGGAUUGAUCAGUUAGAGGUGAAAUCCCGGGGCUCAACCCCGGAACUGCCUUUAAUACUGUCAAUCUAGAGAUCGAGAGAGGUGAGUGGAAUUCCGAGUGUAGAGGUGAAAUUCGUAGAUNUUCGGNGGAACACCAGUGGCGAANNNGGNUCACUNNNUCGAUACUGACGCUNANGUGCGAAAGCGUG